This 465-nucleotide ribosomal RNA is filed under the name uncultured Klebsiella sp. Its description in RNAcentral is "bacterial SSU rRNA". It matches the Rfam family "Bacterial small subunit ribosomal RNA", at positions 338 to 795 of the family's 1533-position model. The record is from RNAcentral. Lineage: Bacteria; Pseudomonadati; Pseudomonadota; Gammaproteobacteria; Enterobacterales; Enterobacteriaceae.
CCUACGGGUGGCAGCAGUGGGGAAUAUUGCACAAUGGGCGCAAGCCUGAUGCAGCCAUGCCGCGUGUGUGAAGAAGGCCUUCGGGUUGUAAAGCACUUUCAGCGGGGAGGAAGGCGUUAAGGUUAAUAACCUUGGCGAUUGACGUUACCCGCAGAAGAAGCACCGGCUAACUCCGUGCCAGCAGCCGCGGUAAUACGGAGGGUGCAAGCGUUAAUCGGAAUUACUGGGCGUAAAGCGCACGCAGGCGGUCUGUCAGGUCGGAUGUGAAAUCCCCGGGCUCAACCUGGGAACUGCAUUCGAAACUGGCAGGCUAGAGUCUUGUAGAGGGGGGUAGAAUUCCAGGUGUAGCGGUGAAAUGCGUAGAGAGCUGGAGGAAUACCGGUGGCGAAGGCGGCCCCCUGGACAAAGACUGACGCUCAGGUGCGAAAGCGUGGGGAGCAAACAGGAUUAGAUACCCGAGUAGUC